UGAGAGAGCUCAAAACAGAAAUAACUAAGAAGAAAUACUGGAGUAGCCUACUGUGAGAGAAGAAGAUUUCCAGGAGCUGCUGUGGUGGUCCAUGUGGCAAAGGGAUGGCACGAAACUUUGGAGACAAAAUGCAGGAUGGAAAAACAUAUAAAGAAGAAAGGCUCAGCGUAGACCUCAGUGACAUGCUAUUGACUGAAGGCAAGAGAAUGGGAGGUCAAUCCCUCUGACAGGACUUCAAGAAAAUAAUACUCAAGGCCAAUCCACAAAGUAGUAUUCUUGUGCAGCUGUAAUGUAACAAUUAAAAGAUAAGCUGUUUGAAGAUUGAGCAGCCAAGAAAAAUCAAAUUGAGAAAGAACGAAAUGGUCCAGAACAGCAAAACACGAUGAGCCAUGAUACAAACGUGUUCAUUGUUUCUUUGACAUCUUGAAAACGCCAAUUCCGAAACAUGAGCAAGUUUUAAAU
Molecule: long non-coding RNA, 462 nt
Filed under: Gallus gallus (chicken)
Lineage: Eukaryota; Metazoa; Chordata; Aves; Galliformes; Phasianidae
Description: long non-coding RNA NONGGAT008896
Source: RNAcentral